This 372-nucleotide unclassified non-coding RNA is filed under the name fungal sp. Its description in RNAcentral is "partial internal transcribed spacer region". The stretch from base 1 to 46 matches the Rfam family "Eukaryotic small subunit ribosomal RNA", at positions 1786 to 1831 of the family's 1831-position model. The record is from RNAcentral. Lineage: Eukaryota; Fungi.
AAGUCGUAACAAGGUUUCCGUAGGUGAACCUGCGGAAGGAUCAUUAACACGUAUCCAACGUUAAACCCCCCUGUGAACCUUCAUUGUGCUCCCACGCUUUGUUAGAAAGUGGCAAUCCCUGGUAAAUCAUGGACUUCUGCGAAGAGGGUGAAUGAGGCGAGGCAAUGGACCUGGCAUUCCUCUGCUUGUUGGUGUCUGAAAGUGUCACUAACUCUGUACGAAUGGCGCAGUCACGUUCGCUGGAGGCCGACACGGCCGGCGACCGGGUCCCUGAGCUCUGCUCCCUAAUAACCUUUGCAUGAAAACGGGCCUGCGCUUAAUUGUGCGGCCACCAAACUCGAACAACUGUUAACAAUGGAUAUCUUGGUUCUC